RNAcentral lists this ribosomal RNA (3189 nucleotides) under Quercus suber. Its description in RNAcentral is "bacterial LSU rRNA". It matches the Rfam family "Bacterial large subunit ribosomal RNA". The record is from RNAcentral. Lineage: Eukaryota; Viridiplantae; Streptophyta; Magnoliopsida; Fagales; Fagaceae.
UAUAUGAUAAAUAAAUCCAAUUAAAAAUAUUUUUUUAGUAAUAUAUGUAUAAACAUAAAUUAGCUUUAUUAUAUCCAUAUUUGUAAUAAUAUUUUAUUAAUAAUUAUACGUUAGGUAUAUUUAAUUUUUAUUAUUAAUAAAAAUAAUAUAAAUUAUUAUACGGAAUAAUACUCCAUUAGUAAUAUAUUUGAUAUGUAAUGUGUUAUUUCAUUAUUGUAAAUACAAUGAUGUUUAGUAUAUAAAGAGAUUAUUAUGAAUUAAUAGCUGUAUGUCAUAAGUACAAUUAAAAGCUUAUACUGUAGUACCUUAGUGUACUGUAGUAAAAUCAGUCCUAUUAGCAAUAGGAGUUAUGAGGUUCUUGUCAGUAAUGACAAGGUAAGUUAAAUAUAGGAGAAAUCCAGUUAUAAACGAAGUAAAUUGAAAUAUCUUAUUAACUUCAGGAAAAAAAAUCAAAUGAGAUUAUUUUAUUAGUUAAAAACUAAUAAAAUAAUGCCCGCCAACAAGUAAAGUGGAAAUAAAUCUGCUUGAAUAUAGGGAAACCUUUCUCUAAGGCUAAAUAUGACAUACACGCGAUAGAAAAUAAAGUAGCGUAAGGGAAUUUAUUGAAAUAGUAGUUUUAUAAGCAGCUCAAGUUUUUAUGCAUAAGAAAAAUUAGAGCGUACCUUUUGCAUAAUGGGUCAGCAAGUUAAUAUUAGAUGCAAGACUAAAGUCCUAGAUAAACCAAUUAUUAAAUAAUGAUUAAGUAUCUAAUAUUAGACCCGAAGCCUGGUGAUCUUACCAUUAUCAGGGUUAUAAAAGCCCGAACAGGUUAUCGUUGUAAAGAUAUCUGAAGAAUUGUGGUAAGUUAGUGAAAGACAAAACUGACCAGGAUAGCUGGUUUUCCGCGAAACCUAUUUAAGUAGGUAGUUUGAAUUAUAUCAUUGCAGGUACAGAAUUGUGAUCUCAGACAAGUUAUGAUGCAUUUAUAUGUUAUCAGUUUGUAUACAUUGGGGGAUCGUGAAGAUUUUAUCAGUGAGGAUUUGCUCUCGGAAGGGCAAUGAUAAUUAUUAAACCGUCGGACAUAGUACGAUAAGGUUGUAUGUCUAAAGGGAAACAGCCCAGAACAAAAGUUAAAGGUUCCAAAAUUAUUGUUAAGUGAAAUUAAGGAAGUUUUUUUCAAACACAAUCAGUAAAUAGGCUUAGAAGCGGCCACUUUUUAAAGAUCUCGUAACAGAGCACUGAUUAAUAAUAAAGUUAAACGCGCCGAAAAUUUAACGGAUCUAAACAAUAUACCGAAACUUUGUACGUAAAAAUAUUAAUUUGUAUAAAUUUAGUUUUUUGCGGGGUAGCGGAACGUUGGGUAGUAACAAGAUACUGUAUCUUCGAUAUAGAUCAAUAGUCAACCGUUUGGAAUUGGAUUAUAGGAUAUCCCAAGUGAUAAUGCUGACAUGAGUAACGAAAAAGGGAAAUUUUCCCCUCGCCUUAAGCUUAUGGUAUCUUGUUAUAGAAAAGUAACGGCCCCUAAGUUUAUUAAUCUGACCUAAAGGAUUAAACGAUGGGAAAAUCUUUAUAUAUUUUUAUAAACUUUUUUAAGAACAAAAGUUCUGGAAAAUAAUAUAUAUUUUACAACCGUACCUAGAAACUACCUCAAGUAAGCAAGUAGAGUAUACAAAGGCGUUUGAGAUAACAAUCAUUAAGGAACUCGGCAAAAUGACACCGUAACUUCAGGNUGUUACUAGUAAUUGGAUAUAAUUGGGCAAGUUGUAGUAUAUAAGGUAGUUGGUUAGAUAAAAGUGAAAUACCUUUGCUUAGCCUAUUAUAUCAGAAAAAUAACAUUUUUGGUGAUGAAUAAUUAGCAGGCAACUUUAAAUAGAUGGGGGUCAGUAGGUAUACUGAGGCCAUAAUCGCUGAUGGGUCAUUGAUGCCCUUUAAAAGUACCCAACUAGUAGUUGAAAUUUGGCUAGGCGCAGACUAUACGACUGUAGGCCUGUUAAUUUUAAAACGCAACAAGUCAUUUUUAAAAUAGAAGUUUACAUAACUCAUCCAACAAGAUAUAGGAAUAUUUAUUUACUCAGGAAACAUUUGCUAGUAGACAGUUUAUGCGGGGCACAGAUCCCAUAAAAAGUACCUGGGUGUAUCCAAAGUUAAUAUUGUAAAUUCAUUAGAAAAAAAAAUGAUUUAAUACUUGCAAUUUAAUAAUUUAUGUUACUAUAAGCAAGUAUUUUAUAUUUUACUUUGUAAUAGUUUAUAUAUAAUCUAUUCACUUAUUAUUCUAUUGAGUUAGAUUAAUUUUUAUUUUUAUAGUAAGGUUUUAACUAUAUGGAAAAUAGUUAUUUAUAAAAUAUUAUAUUUAUAAUAUUUUAAUUUGUCUUAAUGUAAAGAUUAAUUCUUUUGAUGAUAUAUUUUUUGGCUUGUAUAAAGUUGUAUAAAACACUAAACUUUAAGCCCUCAAUGUUAAUUUUAGUUUUUUCUUUACUUGUUAUAAGAUGAUAUUUAGUAAAAUUAUGAAAGUUUAAUGGCUAAACCUUGCUUUACUGUUUGACUUACAUGUCUAUCAGUCGCGUAAGCGGGGCAUACGAUCGCAAGAUGCAGAAAGGAAAGGUCUUGUAUUUAUGAAAAAGCUACGCUAGGGAUAACAGGCUAAUUGCGCCAGAGAGUACAAAUUGAGUGCGCAGUUUGGCACCUCGAUGUCGGCUUAGCUCAUCCACAUGAAUGUAGGAAUCAUGAAGGGUACGACUGUUCGUCGGUUAAAGAGCUACACGAGCUGGGUUAAAUACGUCGUGAGACAGUAUGGUUUCUAUCUUCUAGAAGUAAUUAGAGUAAAAUAAGGAUAGCCCCUUCGUACGAAAGGAGUUGGGUAUGGUAACCUCUGGUUUAUUUGUUGUUUAUGAUAAUACCUUUCAAUACUCCUUAUUAGGAAAGUAAUGGGGAAAGCUUUUAGUUUCUAAAAGUACCUAAGGUUACAUUUUUAUAUUUCUUAUAUAAAUAAAAAAUAGGCACAGCAAUAAAGCUACGUUAGCUAAUAAUAAGUGCUGAAUGCAUAUAGGCACGAAGUUUACCUUAUGAUACUCUAAAAUAUACGUAAUAUAAUAUUACGAAUUAUUAUUUGUUAUGCGAAAGCAAUAUAAUUAAUAAUUGUAUAGGCUUUGGUUUAAAGGAUUUUGAUGUUCUCAGAUACAAAGUACUAAUUUUAUUAGUCACUAAGUAAUA